RNAcentral lists this ribosomal RNA (253 nucleotides) under uncultured bacterium. RNAcentral's name for it is "partial 16S ribosomal RNA". It matches the Rfam family "Bacterial small subunit ribosomal RNA", at positions 524 to 776 of the family's 1533-position model. The record is from RNAcentral.
UACAUGUGGGGCAAGCGUUGUUCGGAAUUACUGGGCAUAAAGGGUGCGUAGGCGGCUUGUUAAGUCAGGGGUGAAAGUUUUCGGCCCAACCGGAAAAUUGCCUUUGAUACUGGCGAGCUCGAGUGCGUGAGGGGUAACCGGAACGAGUGGUGUAGCGGUGAAAUGCGUAGAUAUCAGGAGGAACACCGGUGGCGAAGGCGGGACUCUGGGCUGAUACUGACGCUGAGGAGCGAAAGCGUGGGGAGCAAACAGG